AAUAAACGCUGGCGGCAUGCCUAACACAUGCAAGUCGUACGAGAGAAGAGGAGCUUGCUCCUCGGAUCUAGUGGCAGACGGGUGAGUAACGCGUGGGCAAUCUACCUCUGAGUAGGGGAUACCUUUUCGAAAGGAAAGUUAAUACCGUAUAAGACCACGACAUCUUAGGGUGAAGAGGUCAAAGCCGGGGAUCUUCGGACCUGGUGCUUGGAGAGGAGCUCGCGUCGGAUUAGCUAGUUGGUGGGGUAACGGCCUACCAAGGCAACGAUCCGUAGCCGGCCUGAGAGGGUGAUCGGCCACACUGGAACUGAGACACGGUCCAG
RNAcentral lists this ribosomal RNA (323 nucleotides) under uncultured bacterium. Its description in RNAcentral is "bacterial SSU rRNA". It matches the Rfam family "Bacterial small subunit ribosomal RNA", at positions 29 to 334 of the family's 1533-position model. The record is from RNAcentral.